UUCACUGUGCGGCUGAAGCGUGCGAAAAAUAAACACUUUUCAUCUCGGAUCAUCAGAGGCUGUUGUGCAUCCAAGAAAGAGUGAAAGACUGAUUGAAACCUACGUUUCCAGAGACCACCACCACGAUAAUUGAAGAUAUCAGCAAGUGCAAAGAGGAGCCACCAAUGCAACCACACCCUAAAUUGUUUCCAAGGACCUGGAUGGGCGGAGAAGGAGUUUCAAGGCUGACUGGUACAAGAUUCACCCCUGGCUUGAGUACUCCAAAAUGUCAGACUCUGCUCAUUGUUACGCCUGCAGACAUUUUAGCCCUCCGAAUAGCACAGACACUGUAUUUGAUUCACCUUCAGGUUUCAAAAACUGGAAGAAGGCAACAUACAAACAGUGAAGUCUUUAGCAUCAUGGCAGAUGAAACAAAAUAUGUUAAAAAAAAAAGAACAGAUUUCUCUUGUAGUCAGGUACUACUUCAAUGGUGCUAUCCAGGAGAGUUUUUUCCAUUUUGAGUCAGCAGAGAGGCUAGAUGCAGCAGGGCUUACUGAAAAAAUAAUUCACAUAUUGGAAAGUAACGGUCUGGAAUACAAAAACAACCUUGUAGGCCAAGCAUAUGAUGGUGCUGCUGUCAUGAGCGGUAAGCACUCAGGGGUCCAGGCUAGAAUCAGAGAGCAAGCUAAAUAUGCUUUUUAUGUUUAUUGCAAUGCUCACUAUCUAAAUCCAGUUUUAGUAGAUACAGUCAAAGCUGUCCCAGAAGCAGAGCAGUUCUUCUCCUUACUAGAAAAGCUAUACGUCUUCACAUCUGGGUCGUAUGUCCACCCCAAAUGGCUAGAUAUCCAAAGAGAGAUGUACGAAGGUGCCCCAAGAGAACUCCAGCGAUUGAGUGACACUAGAUGGGCAUGCAGAUGUAUAUCUCUCCGUAACAUAAUGGAUAGAUUACCGGCCCUCAAGCGAGUACUGCAAGACAUAGCCCAAGAACACAAUGGUGAGAGAUCUAUUGAGGCACGUGGUCUGCUGGCACAGUUGGAUCUAGAAUUCAUUGUGCAUCUUGUAACACUCCGUAAAGUGUUUGCAGAAACAACAUUUCUCUCUGACAUGUUACAGUCUUCAUCCCUCGACCUUUCAAAGGCUGUGGAUUUAGUUGAAUCUUUAGUUCAGACAUUGAAUGACUUCAGGCAGGAGUAAUUUUUUGAUAACUUGUGGGAUGAAGUGUUGAACAUUUCUGAGCAAUGUGAUACUGCAAUACAGCCAGCAGCAAAACGACAAAAACGACUGAGCUCUAAACUUGCUGAAAGCUUCGUACUGACUACUGUUGGACAGAGAGAGACAGAACAAGAUAAACACGGGUUUCGUACAGCCUUUUUCUACCCUGUCAUUGAUCAGAUGCUCAAUGAGCUUAAUAGACGGUUUUCAAACACAAACUGUGACAUGAUGAAUAGCAUCCAAGCUCUUAACCCCAAAAGUGAUGCAUUUCUGAAGGAGACAACUCUGUUUUCAUUUGCUCAGUUGUAUGAUGCAAAUAUUGAGGACUUGGGGCAUGAGCUACAUCAGUUCAGCAGAAUGUUAGAUAGGAACAUAAAGACUGGGAUGCAGAGACCUGAUAGUACAGUGGAGCUUGUUCAGUUCAUUGAACCUGAUAAAUAAGUGUUUUUUGAGCUCUUCAGACUCUGCAAAAUAGCAGUCGCAAUCCCAGUCAGUUCUGCUUCCUGUGAGCGUAGUUUUUCUACAUUGAAGCUGGUCAAACAUUUUCUCAGAUCCACCAUCACUGAUGAGAGACUGAGCAAUCUGGGUGUGCUUAGUAUUGAGUCAAGGAGGUCAAAGGCUUUGAAUCUUGACUUAUUUGUUGAUCGGUUUGCCAAAAAUCACAAAAACCGCAGGAUUAUGUUGCUGUAAUGGGACGUUUUGGGAAGGAAACUAUCUGUGUGUUUUCCAGAUAUCACUGUUUUAUGUUUAUUAGAAAUGUGACGGAAUAGACGAAACUGAUUAGUGCGCGUGCAGAACAGGUGUGUUCAGUCUUCGUGUUUGUUAAAUAGCCUACUUGUCUGUGCUUAUGGGAAAUAAUACAUCUGAAAUCUAUGUUUUCUAUCUAUAUAUGUAUUUUAUUUCAUUUAAAGUCAACAUUUAAGAUUUGUAAACUUUUGCAUUAAAUCCUUUUCUGUGGAUUUAAAAAUGUAUAAAUGUAAUGCUGAAGCUAACAGUAUAAGAUCUGUCUGAAAUAAAUAAGUGUACUGAAACAAAUACCAA
Molecule: long non-coding RNA, 2232 nt
Organism: Gymnodraco acuticeps
Lineage: Eukaryota; Metazoa; Chordata; Actinopteri; Perciformes; Bathydraconidae
Exons: 2
Source: RefSeq, a predicted model, not a curated record